Molecule: ribosomal RNA, 569 nt
Filed under: Bactrodesmiastrum monilioides
Lineage: Eukaryota; Fungi; Ascomycota; Sordariomycetes; Fuscosporellales; Fuscosporellaceae
Description: eukaryotic LSU rRNA
Rfam family: 5.8S ribosomal RNA (bases 145-301)
Source: RNAcentral
CCAUUGGAACCCAUAUCAUUUUUUUUUGCUUCGGCGGAGCUGCCCCCCCGCGAGGGGGGGAGUGCACCCCUCCGCCGACAGCUUUACCUUACCUCUCAUCCUUAUAUUUCUGAGUCUCAGAGUCUCCAAAAGCGAGAGAGUUACAACCUUCAACGAUGGAUCUCUCGGCUCCGGCCUCGAUGAAGAACGCAGCGAAAUGCGAUACCUAAUAGGACUCGCAGACCCCCUCAGUGAAUCAUCGAGUUUUUGAACGCACAUGGCACCCGCCAGCAUUCUGGCGGGUCUGUCUGUCCGAGCGUCGUCUCACGUCCCCCGGGCACUCGUCCCGGCGUUGGGGCAUGCGUCUUCCCCGGCGCAGCCCUCAAAUACAGUGGCGGUUCCGCAGCACGCAAACGCUGGCACGCAGUAGAUUCGUCACCGUGCCGGACGAUGCAACCUUUGCGGGACCCGCCUCGACGGGCCGAUCCCCACCCCGCUCAUCCCCUCCGUAUUUGGACGGGGGGGGAGGGGAUCGCCACACCUAGCACCGUCGACCUCGGAUCAGACAGGGUUACCCGCUGAACUUAAGC